This 66-nucleotide transfer RNA is filed under the name Anomopsocus sp. AnspLA. RNAcentral describes it as "tRNA-Cys". The record is from RNAcentral. Lineage: Eukaryota; Metazoa; Arthropoda; Insecta; Psocodea; Lachesillidae.
AAUAAAGUGCCUGAUAAAAGGGCUAUCUUGAUAGGAUAGAUUAUAUAUGAUUUUAUAUCUUUAUUU